GUGCCAGCAGGCGGUAAUACCGGCAGCCCGAGUGAUGGCCGAUCUUAUUGGGCCUAAAGCGUCCGUAGCUGGCCGCGCAAGUCCAUCGGAAAAUCCACCCGCCCAACGGGUGGGCGUCCGGUGGAAACUGUGUGGCUUGGGACCGGAAGGCGCGACGGGUACGUCCGGGGUAGGAGUGAAAUCCCGUAAUCCUGGACGGACCGCCGAUGGCGAAAGCACUUCGAGAAAACGGAUCCGACAGUGAGGGACGAAAGCUAAGAUCGCGAACCGGAUUAGAUACCCUUGUAGUCC
RNAcentral lists this ribosomal RNA (291 nucleotides) under uncultured bacterium. RNAcentral describes it as "partial 16S ribosomal RNA". It matches the Rfam family "Archaeal small subunit ribosomal RNA", at positions 455 to 747 of the family's 1478-position model. The record is from RNAcentral.